Molecule: RNA transcript, 869 nt
Organism: Clarias gariepinus (North African catfish)
Lineage: Eukaryota; Metazoa; Chordata; Actinopteri; Siluriformes; Clariidae
Gene name: cortexin domain-containing 1 protein
Exons: 2
Source: RefSeq, a predicted model, not a curated record
AUGGAGGAAACAACGCCAGAUCCCGAGUUCGUGGACGUGGACCAGGGCUUGACUUUGGCAUGCAUUGCCUUCCUCUGCCUGCUGCUGGUGGCCAUGAUCAUCCGCUGUGCCAAAGUCAUCAUGGACCCGUACAGCGCCAUCCCCACAUCCACCUGGGAGGAGCAGCAUCUAGACGACUAGCAUGAUCUGCAGGUCUGAAAACAUAGACUGUCUAAUGAAGGCACACAGGCAUGUGGAACUUAAGACAACCCUCUAUCGAGGUUGCAAGGUCAAGUGAAAUGGACUUACUCCAAUAGUGAAGCACACCAACUUAAGACUCUACAAGCUCAGAAACUACCUACAGAACCAGGACCAGGCAGAACAACCCAGUACUGCACACAGCAACAUAUCAAAUACAUGAACACAACGUUCACUAAAGCAGUUUGAGAAUGGGCAUGUGAAUGUUCGAUUUUUGGGGUAACCUUUUCAGUUUUGUACAUUUUUCUAAUAAUCGUGAUGGAUGAUGUGUAAAUUUAAUGUAUGCCAUUCAGUGAAAUGAAGCCUGGCUUGGAGGCAUGCUAACAAAUCUACUCAAAAGGACUACUCAACCUUGAAAUUAUAGUAAUUUAUAUCAGUUUACAGUAAAGUGAGAAAUGCAAGCAAGGUAGCAUGAAUGCAAUCCAAGAUAAGGCUUGUGCCAAUAAUCAGUUAACCGACAUAUCAUGAUAAUCAACAAGCACCAAGUCAUUGCUUUUCCAUUACUCUUUGAGCUGUUUGCCUGUUUUAUUAGGAGAGAAGCAUGGACAUUUGUAGACAACACUGUAUUUUUUUCUAGAAGGCAUUACAGUUUGAAAAACAAAGAUAUGUAGCUUCAAAGUUUUUUUUUAUUA